Molecule: unclassified non-coding RNA, 329 nt
Filed under: soil metagenome
Description: partial contains 5.8S ribosomal RNA, internal transcribed spacer 2, and large subunit ribosomal RNA
Rfam family: 5.8S ribosomal RNA (bases 1-120)
Source: RNAcentral
GAUGAAGAACGCAGCGAAAUGCGAUAAGUAGUGUGAAUUGCAGAAUUCAGUGAAUCAUCGAAUCUUUGAACGCACAUUGCGCCCCUUGGUAUCCCGAGGGGCAUGCCUGUUCGAGCGUCAUUUCACCACUCAAGCCUGGCUUGGUGUUGGGCGACGUCCCCUUUGGGGACGCGCCUCGAAACGCUCGGCGGCGUGGCACCGGCUUUAAGCGUAGCAGAAUCUUUCGCUUUGGAAGUCGGGGCCCCGUCUGCCGGAAGACCUACUCGCAAGGUUGACCUCGGAUCAGGCAGGGAUACCCGCUGAACUUAAGCAUAUCAGUAAGCGGAGGA